AGUGAACGCUGGCGGUAGGCCUAACACAUGCAAGUCGAACGGCAGCACAGUAAGAGCUUGCUCUUACGGGUGGCGAGUGGCGGACGGGUGAGGAAUACAUCGGAAUCUACUUUUUCGUGGGGGAUAACGUAGGGAAACUUACGCUAAUACCGCAUACGACCUACGGGUGAAAGCAGGGGAUCUUCGGACCUUGCGCGAUUGAAUGAGCCGAUGUCGGAUUAGCUAGUUGGCGGGGUAAAGGCCCACCAAGGCGACGAUCCGUAGCUGGUCUGAGAGGAUGGUUCGCCAACACGGAAAUGGGACAACGUCCAGAACUCUAAGGGAGGGAGCAGGUGGGAAAUUUUGGCCAAGGGCCGAAGGCUGGAUCAAGCAAUCCGGGGUGGUUAAGAAGGGCUUCCGGGUGGUAAGCCCUUUUGUUGGGAAAGAAAAGCAGCAGGUUAAUACCCCGCUGUUCUGACGGUACCCAAAGAAUAAGCACCGGCUAACUUCGUG
Molecule: ribosomal RNA, 492 nt
Filed under: uncultured bacterium
Lineage: Bacteria
Description: partial 16S ribosomal RNA
Rfam family: Bacterial small subunit ribosomal RNA
Source: RNAcentral